RNAcentral lists this ribosomal RNA (308 nucleotides) under uncultured bacterium. RNAcentral's name for it is "bacterial SSU rRNA". It matches the Rfam family "Bacterial small subunit ribosomal RNA", at positions 28 to 334 of the family's 1533-position model. The record is from RNAcentral.
GAUGAACGCUAGCGGGCAGGCCUAAUACAUGCAAGUCGAACGGGAUUGUCCAGCUUGCUGGGCAUGAGAGUGGCGAAUGGGUGCGUAACGCGUGAGCAACCUACCCUUGUCUGGGGGAUAGCCCGGAGAAAUCCGGAUUAAUACCGCAUAACGUCGGUGAGCGGCAUUGCUUACCGACCAAACAUUUAUGGGACAUGGAUGGGCUCGCGUGACACUAGUUAGUUGGCAGGGUAACGGCCUACCAAGACCGCGAUGUCUAGGGGAUCUGAGAGGAUGACCCCCCACACUGGUACUGAGACACGGACCAG